Molecule: ribosomal RNA, 119 nt
Filed under: Pteropus alecto (black flying fox)
Lineage: Eukaryota; Metazoa; Chordata; Mammalia; Chiroptera; Pteropodidae
Source: RNAcentral
GUUUACAGCCAUACUACCCUGAACAAGCCCGAUCCUGUCUGAUCUCAGGAGCUAAGCAGGGUCGGGCCUGGUUAGUACUUGGAUGGGAGACAACCUAGGAAGACCAGGUGCUGUAGGUG